This 64-nucleotide transfer RNA is filed under the name bovine gut metagenome. It matches the Rfam family "tRNA", at positions 5 to 66 of the family's 71-position model. Rfam says of the family: Transfer RNA (tRNA) molecules are approximately 80 nucleotides in length. The record is from RNAcentral.
GAGUGGCUUAGUGGUAUAGCGUCUCCUUGCCAAGGAGAAGGUCGCGGGUUCGACUCCCGUUUCG